Non-coding RNA from Choloepus didactylus (southern two-toed sloth), 742 nucleotides. Lineage: Eukaryota; Metazoa; Chordata; Mammalia; Pilosa; Megalonychidae. The record is from the annotation of a RefSeq genome assembly.
UGCAUUGGGAGCUUCACAGACUGUGUCCACCAUGGCCUGGACCCCUCUCCUCCUUGUGCUCCUCUCUUACUGCACAGGUUCCCUCUCCCAGCCUGUGCUGACCCAGCCACCCUCCCUCUCUGCAUCCCUGGGAACAUCUGUGAGACUCACCUGCACCCUCAGCAGUGGCUUCAGUGUUGGCAGCUAUACCAUAUCCUGGUACCAGCAGAAGCCAGGGAGCCCUCCUCAGUAUCUCCUGUACUACUACUCAGACUCAAGCAAGCACCAGGGCUCCAGGGUCCCCAGCCACUUCUCUGGCUCCAAGGAUGGUUUGGCCAAGGCAGGCCUUCUGCUCAUCUCUGGUCUGCAGCCUGAGGACGAGGCUGAAUAUUACUGUGCUAUUGCUGAUGGCAGUGGGAGCAGCUACAGUUCCUCACGAAAUUUUCUGAAUGCAUCCUCUGUGGCCUCCUUUGAGCUGACCCAGCCACGCUCAGUGUCAGUGGCCCUGGGACAGAUGGCCAGGCUCACCUGCUCUGGAGGAAAAUUCGAGAAAAAAUAUGUUCACUGGUACCAGCAGAAGACAGAUCAGGCCCCUGAGCUGGUCAUCUAUAAGGAUAGUGAACGGCCCUCAGGGAUCCCUGACCGAUUCUCUGGCUCCAGCUCUGGGAGCACAGCCACCCUGACCAUCAGCAGGGUCCAGAAUGAGGAUGAGGCUGACUAUUACUCCCCAGGAGGACUGAGGACAAGCAGUGUGCAGGCCUAG